RNAcentral lists this long non-coding RNA (232 nucleotides) under Elaeis guineensis (African oil palm). RNAcentral describes it as "long non-coding RNA (EGUI_LNC006460)". Lineage: Eukaryota; Viridiplantae; Streptophyta; Magnoliopsida; Arecales; Arecaceae. The record is from RNAcentral.
CUGAUAAUGUAACAUUAAAUUUUCAAAAUAAUCUUAUUAUUAGUUUGACGUUUUAAAAUAUUUAUUUAAUUUUUUUAAUGAUAAAAAUUAUUAUAUAAAAAAAUUUAUUGUUUAAUUAAAUAAUCGAAUUAUUUAAAAUUUUAUUAUUAUUUAAUACUUAUUAUUAUUAUUUUUAUUACCUUUACUUUUUUUCCCUUCUUUCUCCUUCCCCUGCACGCCACACCCCGCCCCC